RNAcentral lists this non-coding RNA (26 nucleotides) under Mus musculus (house mouse). The record is from RNAcentral. Lineage: Eukaryota; Metazoa; Chordata; Mammalia; Rodentia; Muridae.
UGGUUUACAACUGUCUGUGAAUCCAC